This 1539-nucleotide ribosomal RNA is filed under the name Filifactor alocis ATCC 35896. RNAcentral's name for it is "16S ribosomal RNA". It matches the Rfam family "Bacterial small subunit ribosomal RNA". Lineage: Bacteria; Bacillati; Bacillota; Clostridia; Peptostreptococcales; Filifactoraceae. The record is from RNAcentral.
UUAAAACGAAGAGUUUGAUCCUGGCUCAGGAUGAACGCUGGCGGCGUGCUUAACACAUGCAAGUCGAACGAACGACUAUUAACAGAACCUUUCGGGGCGAAGAUGAUAGAAGUUAGUGGCGGACGGGUGCGUAACGCGUGGGUAAUCUGCCUUUGUCAAAGGAAUAACUAUUCGAAAGAAUAGCUAAAACCGUAUAACAUAUUAAUAGGGCAUCCUAAUAAUAUCAAAACGAUAGUGGACAAAGAUGAGCCCGCGUCUGAUUAGCUAGUUGGUGAGAUAAAAGCCCACCAAGGCAACGAUCAGUAGCCGACCUGAGAGGGUGAACGGCCACAUUGGAACUGAGACACGGUCCAAACUCCUACGGGAGGCAGCAGUGGGGAAUAUUGCACAAUGGGGGGAACCCUGAUGCAGCAACGCCGCGUGAGUGAAGAAGGCAUUCGUGUCGUAAAACUCUGUAGUAGGGGAAGAAAGAAAUGACAGUACCCUAAAAGAAAGCCCCGGCUAACUACGUGCCAGCAGCCGCGGUAAUACGUAGGGGGCAAGCGUUAUCCGGAAUAACUGGGCGUAAAGGGUGCGCAGGUGGUUUAACAAGUUAGUGGUGAAAGGCAUAGGCUCAACCAAUGUAAGCCAUUAAAACUGUUUAACUUGAGUGCAGGAGAGGAAAGUGGAAUUCCUAGUGUAGCGGUGAAAUGCGUAGAUAUUAGGAGGAAUACCAGUGGCGAAGGCGACUUUCUGGACUGCAACUGACACUGAGGCACGAAAGCGUGGGGAGCAAACAGGAUUAGAUACCCUGGUAGUCCACGCCGUAAACGAUGAGUACUAGGUGUCGGGUGAAGAACUCGGUGCCGAAGUUAACACAUUAAGUACUCCGCCUGGGGAGUACGCUCGCAAGAGUAAAACUCAAAGGAAUUGACGGGGACCCGCACAAGCAGCGGAGCAUGUGGUUUAAUUCGAAGCAACGCGAAGAACCUUACCUAAACUUGACAUACCAAUGACAGCCUUUUAAUCGAGGACUUUUACCUUCGGGUAGACAAUGGAUACAGGUGGUGCAUGGUUGUCGUCAGCUCGUGUCGUGAGAUGUUGGGUUAAGUCCCGCAACGAGCGCAACCCUUGUCGAUAGUUACCAGCAGUAAGAUGGGGACUCUAUCGAGACAGCUAAGGACAACUUAGAGGAAGGUGGGGAUGACGUCAAAUCAUCAUGCCCCUUAUGUUUAGGGCUACACACGUGCUACAAUGGUCAUUACAGAGAGAAGCGAAACUGCGAAGUCAAGCAAACCUCAAAAAGAUGAUCCAAGUUCGGAUUGUAGGCUGAAACUCGCCUACAUGAAGUUGGAGUUGCUAGUAAUCGCGAAUCAGAAUGUCGCGGUGAAUGCGUUCCCGGGUCUUGUACACACCGCCCGUCACACCAUGGGAGUUUGGGGGGCCCAAAGUCAGCGACUCAACCGCAAGGAGAGAGCUGCCCAAGGCAAAACAAAUGACUGGGGUGAAGUCGUAACAAGGUAGCCGUAUCGGAAGGUGCGGCUGGAUCACCUCCUUUCU